GGGUUGUGAGGUUAAGCGACUAAGCGUACACGGUGGAUGCCCUGGCAGUCAGAGGCGAUGAAGGACGUGCUAAUCUGCGAUAAGCGUCGGUAAGGUGAUAUGAACCGUUAUAACCGGCGAUUUCCGAAUGGGGAAACCCAGUGUGAUUCGUCACACUAUCAUUAACUGAAUCCAUAGGUUAAUGAGGCGAACCGGGGGAACUGAAACAUCUAAGUACCCCGAGGAAAAGAAAUCAACCGAGAUUCCCCCAGUAGCGGCGAGCGAACGGGGAGCAGCCCAGAGCCUGAAUCAGUGUGUGUGUUAGUGGAAGCGUCUGGAAAGGCGUGCGAUACAGGGUGACAGCCCCGUACACAAAAAUGCACAUGCUGUGAGCUCGAUGAGUAGGGCGGGACACGUGGUAUCCUGUCUGAAUAUGGGGGGACCAUCCUCCAAGGCUAAAUACUCCUGACUGACCGAUAGUGAACCAGUACCGUGAGGGAAAGGCGAAAAGAACCCCGGCGAGGGGAGUGAAAAAGAACCUGAAACCGUGUACGUACAAGCAGUGGGAGCACGCUUAGGCGUGUGACUGCGUACCUUUUGUAUAAUGGGUCAGCGACUUAUAUUCUGUAGCAAGGUUAACCGAAUAGGGGAGCCGAAGGGAAACCGAGUCUUAACUGGGCGUUAAGUUGCAGGGUAUAGACCCGAAACCCGGUGAUCUAGCCAUGGGCAGGUUGAAGGUUGGGUAACACUAACUGGAGGACCGAACCGACUAAUGUUGAAAAAUUAGCGGAUGACUUGUGGCUGGGGGUGAAAGGCCAAUCAAACCGGGAGAUAGCUGGUUCUCCCCGAAAGCUAUUUAGGUAGCGCCUCGUGAAUUCAUCUCCGGGGGUAGAGCACUGUUUCGGCAAGGGGGUCAUCCCGACUUACCAACCCGAUGCAAACUGCGAAUACCGGAGAAUGUUAUCACGGGAGACACACGGCGGGUGCUAACGUCCGUCGUGAAGAGGGAAACAACCCAGACCGCCAGCUAAGGUCCCAAAGUCAUGGUUAAGUGGGAAACGAUGUGGGAAGGCCCAGACAGCCAGGAUGUUGGCUUAGAAGCAGCCAUCAUUUAAAGAAAGCGUAAUAGCUCACUGGUCGAGUCGGCCUGCGCGGAAGAUGUAACGGGGCUAAACCAUGCACCGAAGCUGCGGCAGCGACACUAUGUGUUGUUGGGUAGGGGAGCGUUCUGUAAGCCUGCGAAGGUGUGCUGUGAGGCAUGCUGGAGGUAUCAGAAGUGCGAAUGCUGACAUAAGUAACGAUAAAGCGGGUGAAAAGCCCGCUCGCCGGAAGACCAAGGGUUCCUGUCCAACGUUAAUCGGGGCAGGGUGAGUCGACCCCUAAGGCGAGGCCGAAAGGCGUAGUCGAUGGGAAACAGGUUAAUAUUCCUGUACUUGGUGUUACUGCGAAGGGGGGACGGAGAAGGCUAUGUUGGCCGGGCGACGGUUGUCCCGGUUUAAGCGUGUAGGCUGGUUUUCCAGGCAAAUCCGGAAAAUCAAGGCUGAGGCGUGAUGACGAGGCACUACGGUGCUGAAGCAACAAAUGCCCUGCUUCCAGGAAAAGCCUCUAAGCAUCAGGUAACAUCAAAUCGUACCCCAAACCGACACAGGUGGUCAGGUAGAGAAUACCAAGGCGCUUGAGAGAACUCGGGUGAAGGAACUAGGCAAAAUGGUGCCGUAACUUCGGGAGAAGGCACGCUGAUAUGUAGGUGAAGCGACUUGCUCGUGGAGCUGAAAUCAGUCGAAGAUACCAGCUGGCUGCAACUGUUUAUUAAAAACACAGCACUGUGCAAACACGAAAGUGGACGUAUACGGUGUGACGCCUGCCCGGUGCCGGAAGGUUAAUUGAUGGGGUCAGCGCAAGCGAAGCUCUUGAUCGAAGCCCCGGUAAACGGCGGCCGUAACUAUAACGGUCCUAAGGUAGCGAAAUUCCUUGUCGGGUAAGUUCCGACCUGCACGAAUGGCGUAAUGAUGGCCAGGCUGUCUCCACCCGAGACUCAGUGAAAUUGAACUCGCUGUGAAGAUGCAGUGUACCCGCGGCAAGACGGAAAGACCCCGUGAACCUUUACUAUAGCUUGACACUGAACAUUGAGCCUUGAUGUGUAGGAUAGGUGGGAGGCUUUGAAGUGUGGACGCCAGUCUGCAUGGAGCCGACCUUGAAAUACCACCCUUUAAUGUUUGAUGUUCUAACGUUGACCCGUGAUCCGGGUUGCGGACAGUGUCUGGUGGGUAGUUUGACUGGGGCGGUCUCCUCCUAAAGAGUAACGGAGGAGCACGAAGGUUGGCUAAUCCUGGUCGGACAUCAGGAGGUUAGUGCAAUGGCAUAAGCCAGCUUGACUGCGAGCGUGACGGCGCGAGCAGGUGCGAAAGCAGGUCAUAGUGAUCCGGUGGUUCUGAAUGGAAGGGCCAUCGCUCAACGGAUAAAAGGUACUCCGGGGAUAACAGGCUGAUACCGCCCAAGAGUUCAUAUCGACGGCGGUGUUUGGCACCUCGAUGUCGGCUCAUCACAUCCUGGGGCUGAAGUAGGUCCCAAGGGUAUGGCUGUUCGCCAUUUAAAGUGGUACGCGAGCUGGGUUUAGAACGUCGUGAGACAGUUCGGUCCCUAUCUGCCGUGGGCGCUGGAGAACUGAGGGGGGCUGCUCCUAGUACGAGAGGACCGGAGUGGACGCAUCACUGGUGUUCGGGUUGUCAUGCCAAUGGCACUGCCCGGUAGCUAAAUGCGGAAGAGAUAAGUGCUGAAAGCAUCUAAGCACGAAACUUGCCCCGAGAUGAGUUCUCCCUGACUCCUUGAGAGUCCUGAAGGAACGUUGAAGACGACGACGUUGAUAGGCCGGGUGUGUAAGCGCAGCGAUGCGUUGAGCUAACCGGUACUAAUGAACCGUGAGGCUUAACCUUACAACGCCGAAGGUGUUU
RNAcentral lists this ribosomal RNA (2930 nucleotides) under Escherichia coli. RNAcentral describes it as "23S ribosomal RNA". It matches the Rfam family "Bacterial large subunit ribosomal RNA". The record is from RNAcentral. Lineage: Bacteria; Pseudomonadati; Pseudomonadota; Gammaproteobacteria; Enterobacterales; Enterobacteriaceae.